Caerostris darwini is the source of this 96-nucleotide non-coding RNA. Lineage: Eukaryota; Metazoa; Arthropoda; Arachnida; Araneae; Araneidae. The record is from the annotation of a GenBank genome assembly.
ACGGCCAUACCAUGCUGAAUAUACCGGUUCUCGUUAGAUCACCGAAGUCAAGCAUCAUUGGGCUCGGUGAACACCUGGGAACACCGCGUGCCGUUG